CUGAAGAGGUAGGCCUCAGGCACUGCAGGUUGUUGAGUCAUAACAGUCUGAAGUGCCUGAGCGAACUGAUCCAUCCUAUGAUCAAGUUCUUCUACUUUGGUCUCAUAUGUAUUAAUUUGCUGGCUAAUAUUUGCAGAAUCCAUAAUGGUCCUGUUGUAAUGUCAUGGACAGGUAGGAUCUAACAAGCAAAGACAUGCACAGCAAAUGCCAAAGAAGAGAAAAAAU
Molecule: non-coding RNA, 225 nt
Organism: Pelobates cultripes (western spadefoot toad)
Lineage: Eukaryota; Metazoa; Chordata; Amphibia; Anura; Pelobatidae
Source: the annotation of a GenBank genome assembly